Molecule: long non-coding RNA, 3232 nt
Filed under: Canis lupus familiaris (dog)
Lineage: Eukaryota; Metazoa; Chordata; Mammalia; Carnivora; Canidae
Description: lncRNA (ENSCAFG00000052803.1)
Source: RNAcentral
CAGAGAUCAAAGAGUCAACCGUUUAUGGAUGCAUAGUUCAUUACAAAGUCAUCGUGCUCAGCAGGAGGACUCUGGCUAAAGCACAAAUAAUUUUCUCCCAUUACUAUUUUGUUGCAUGGAUUGGGGUUGGAGGGCACUAAAAGACCUUGCAACAACUUUAAAUAAUGUAAAAAAGAGAGAGAUGAAAAUUCACUUUCAAAGGAGGAUUAAAACUUAACUGGCAUCUUUUUAGGGUAUGGUAUGUGGUAGGAGGAAAGAGGAAGUAAAGAAAUUGACCCAUUACCACAUGGAAUGUGGUUCAAGAAGAAUAAUAGAAGGCAGAACAGUAUCCUGUGUAAUUGACUUACCCUUGGGUAAGCAUUACGGAGAGCCUUUGAUAAGCAGAGCAGAACAUAUACAGGAGUUUUUUUUAAGCCCAAACUAGAUAAUGCAUUGGAAAAACGGGCUUUGAACUAGUUUGCUACAAUGUGAAGAAUACAUGUGUUUUAAAUUAUAGCACUGGUGAUGUUAACAAUCCCAGAAUUGUGGACGAUCACAAUGAUACAAAAUAAUAACUGCUACUUAUUCAGUGUCUGCUGUGUGUCCUGUGCUGUGCAGCAGCGUAUGCCAUAUCUUUCCAUAUCUUUCCAUCGUCCAACCAUGCACAAGAGAGGUUUUGUUAUCGACAUUUACACAUGGAAACGGGACUCCACAAAGUUCAAGUGCUUUGCUCAAAGUCAUACAGUCAUUAAGUGGUGAAACCAAGAUUUGAACUCAACUCUGAAAUGAAGCAGAAACAGCCUGUAGUUCAUGUGUCUUGCUCCUAACUCCUCCCCUGGCCUCUGUUGCAGGGGGUUUUGAAGCUCUUCUGAUUUCCAAACUCAGGAGUUUUGUUCGACAAAGAACCAUCUCAAUCUGGUGGCUGCUCUUUGGGCCAGGGUAGAUCACCUCCAAGUCCUGCUUUCCUGUGUCCCUAUUUCCCUUAGCCACACAGUCCUACUCUGGCUUCUAGGACUGCCAUUGACCAUACACCGGCCUUCUGCCAGGAGCAUGAUGAAGAAAUCACUUAGAGGAAAUACUUUGUCAGGUCGAUUGCUUAUUUCAAGGGCCAUAAAGAACCCUUGCUGCACUUCUUGUUUAAUUGUAUAGAAUGUGAAAAAAUACUUUCUUUGAAGGAAAACUCAAGGCACUGAAUGAGUCUGUCCGUGUGAGUGCCCUGUCAACGUGCUGUCGUAGGUAGGGCACGAUCGUGCCCAACGUGUCCGUAGGGCACGAUCACUGACAACUCAUCCAUCCUACUGCAUAGUAAUAACACUCGAUCUCGUGUGUUUUCUGCAUGGAUGUUAGGGACUGUGUAGCUUGUAAAAGAUCUGUCACAUAUCUGAUCAGUUAUAGUGAUAACUGAACAUUUCCUCAAAUGUAUUAAUUUAGCAGAUAUCCUGUCCUACUUUGUUACUUUAAUUUUAGUCAAAGCUGAACUGUAUGAAUCUUAAAAAGAAAAAACAAAGCAUAGGGUGUAAUGCAAAGAACUAUUGAGUUCUUUGCCUAGAGUCUAUAAAAUCCCAGUGGCUAACAUCUCAGUGACUAUGUGAUCUCUGGGAGCCUUUGUCCUCAUCCCUGAUAAAACCUGCAUCGCAGGGAGACCCUAACAUCAAAUAAGUAAGAUGAAUGUAAACCACAACAAUCUACAAAUGCUAUCUUUUUCUGUUCUUCUCAGUGAUACUACCUUUUGUUCAACCCCUUUCUUUAUGCAGCUUUCAAUAAUGGUAGUUUAAAAAGGUCAGAGGGGUGCCUGGGUGGCUCAGUCAGUUGAGCAUCUGACUCUUGCUUUUAGCUGAGGUCAUGAUCUCAGGGUGAUGAGAUCGUGCCUCACGCUGGGCUCUGUGACGCAGAGUCUGCUUAAGAUUGCUGCCCUUCCCUCUACCCCUUACCCCCCAACCUGUGUGUGCUCUCUCUCUCUCUCUCUCUCUCUCUCUCGCUCUCUCUCUCAAUAAAUAAAUAAAUAAGUCAGAAAUAGAUGCAAAUAAUCAGUGAAUUCUUUUUUUGCCAAUUUAAGUGAAAGGCAAUGGAGAGUGUCAUCCAAAAUCCUGUGGAUUCUUAAAAUCCCUUCCUCCACAUUUUCUUGAAAGCUUUCACACGUGCAGUGUAAGAAAUUGUGAGUCAGCCUUCUCCAAGCCUGACUUUAAGAGUUGCAGAAAUCAGCUGCCAGGCAGCACAUAUGUUCUGAGUUCCAUGAGAGGAAGAAAAUACAUUUGCUGAAAAGAAAUGGAAACCUUAAAACCAAUUGAGUUGUAAUAAAGACACUUUGCAUUUUGCUAACUUCUUUUCCGUCUGGUCCCUGGCUGCUUUUCUGGCCCUGGACAAAUUCUCCUACUCCUGAGGCAUCUGUCACCCCAACCACUCCCUCCCUGGGAUAUGGGCUCCAGCUGGCCUCAGUGGCCAAUGGGGGAAAGCUGGGGAAGUGCAGAAUGACCAAAAGAGGGGAUUGAAAUAAUAUAUCAACAGCAAACAGUACUUCUCGAAUGUGAGGCACCCAAAGGCUAUAAAUCCAUUCUCUUAUUAAGGUCUAGUAAGAAUUAAAUGUGGUAAUAAACUUUGGUAAUAAAUUCCAUUCUGCAGUUGUUGAGAUGACUUUAGAAGGCCAAGUCAUUAGGUCAAGGUCACACAGCUAGUGAACCAGGCAGAGGUGAAUAAUAAAGCCUCUUAGCAUUACAUAUGGGACUUCCAGACACUGGAAAGUAUUUUCUUCUGGGCAGUUGCCUUCAGUAAGCACACCCAUUAACCAAACAUCCUAAAGGGGAAGGCUGCUAGCGAGUACUAUGCUAACAUGGUAGAAACCAGAUUCGAACAGGUUGUGGGUUUCUCUUGGAGCAAAAAAAAAAUCAAUUACAAGGAAAAUGAAACUCAACUUGGUGCUCUACUUAAGACACUUUAAACUCAUUUCAUGAUGUUUUGCCUUCUUCACCUCUCACUGAAGUAGUUCCAUUCUUCAGUAAUUGGUAUUCUGUUGUUCUUGUGGAUUGUCUGUCAGUGUGUUUUUAUUCAUUAAACUGCGUGAGUAAAAAUUGAUGUGAUGGAAGAACCAUGGCAGCCUCAGCCACCGAACAAAGACUUUUCUGAACCAGCAUUUCUCCUAUAACAUCUGGAUGAAUGUUUCAUGUGGGUUUUCCUUCCCCAAGUAUCCGAUGGCACAAUUCUGUAUUCAGAAAGAAUUGACAGUGACAUUCAUUUGACCAAAAAAAAAAAAAAAAAA